CAGUAAGGGGGUGUGGGCCUGGAGCCAGCCCUUCUGGGUCCCUGCCAAGGAGGGACAGGUGGCCGUGCUGCUGGUCGACACCGAGGGCUCCAUGGACGUGGAAAGAAACAAGGAGACCAGCAUCAAACUCUGCGCCCUGUCCAUGCUGCUCAGCUCCUACCAGAUACUGAACAUCGGCUG
Molecule: non-coding RNA, 180 nt
Organism: Pelodiscus sinensis (Chinese soft-shelled turtle)
Lineage: Eukaryota; Metazoa; Chordata; Testudines; Trionychidae
Source: RefSeq, a predicted model, not a curated record